UACGGGGGGGGCAAGCGUUGUUCGGAAUUACUGGGCGUAAAGGGCGCGUAGGCGGUUUGACAAGUCUGAUGUGAAAUCUCUGGGCUCAACCCAGAGUCUGCAUUAGAAACUGUCGGGCUUGAGUAUGGGAGAGGUGAGUGGAAUUUCCGGUGUAGCGGUGAAAUGCGUAGAUAUCGUGAGGAAGACCAGUGGCGAAGGCGGAUCUCUGGACAGCUCCUGACGCUGAGGCGCGAAGGCUAGGGGAGCAAACGGG
This 253-nucleotide ribosomal RNA is filed under the name uncultured bacterium. RNAcentral's name for it is "partial 16S ribosomal RNA". It matches the Rfam family "Bacterial small subunit ribosomal RNA", at positions 524 to 776 of the family's 1533-position model. The record is from RNAcentral.